Molecule: ribosomal RNA, 429 nt
Filed under: uncultured bacterium
Lineage: Bacteria
Description: bacterial SSU rRNA
Rfam family: Bacterial small subunit ribosomal RNA
Source: RNAcentral
CGGCGCACGGGUGCGUAACGCGUAUGCAACCUACCCAUUACUAAGGGAUAGCCCAGAGAAAUUUGGAUUAAUACCUUAUGGCACCACAGAUUGGCAUCAUGAAGUGGUUAAAGAUUUAUCGGUAAUGGAUGGGCAUGCGUGCCAUUAGCUAGUUGGUAAGGUAACGGCUUACCAAGGCAACGAUGGCUAGGGGUUCUGAGAGGAUGAUCCCCCACACUGGCACUGAGAUACGGGCCAGACUCCUACGGGAGGCAGCAGUAGGGAAUAUUGGUCAAUGGGCGAGAGCCUGAACCAGCCAUGCCGCGUGCAGGAAGACGGCCUUCUGGGUUGUAAACUGCUUUUAUCAGGGAACAAAAAGCCCAUGCGUGGGAAAUUGCGUGUACCUGAAGAAUAAGCACCGGCUAACUCCGUGCCAGCAGCCGCGGUAAU